This 896-nucleotide ribosomal RNA is filed under the name Sporothrix sclerotialis. RNAcentral describes it as "LSU rRNA". It matches the Rfam family "Eukaryotic large subunit ribosomal RNA", at positions 38 to 961 of the family's 3401-position model. The record is from RNAcentral. Lineage: Eukaryota; Fungi; Ascomycota; Sordariomycetes; Ophiostomatales; Ophiostomataceae.
GCAUAUCAAUAAGCGGAGGAAAAGAAACCAACAGGGAUUGCCCUAGUAACGGCGAGUGAAGCGGCAACAGCUCAAAUUUGAAAUCUGGCCUUCUGGUCCGAAUUGUAAUUUGUAGAGGAUGCUUUUGGUUAGGUACCUUUCGAGUUCCUUGGAACAGGACGCCUUAGAGGGUGAGAGCCCCGUACGAUUGGAUACCGAGCCUCUGUAAAGCUCCUUCGACGAGUCGAGUAGUUUGGGAAUGCUGCUCUAAAUGGGAGGUAAAUUUCUUCUAAAGCUAAAUACCGGCCAGAGACCGAUAGCGCACAAGUAGAGUGAUCGAAAGAUGAAAAGCACUUUGAAAAGAGGGUUAAAUAGUACGUGAAAUUGUUGAAAGGGAAGGGCUUAUGACCAGACCUUUGCCUUGCGGAUCAUCCGGUGUUCUCACCGGUGCACUCCGCUUGGUUGAGGCCAGCAUCAGUUUUGGCGGCCGGAUAAAGACUUCAGGAAUGUGACUCCCCCGGGAGUGUUAUAGCCUGUUGUGUAAUACGGCCGCUGGGACUGAGGACCGCGCUUCGGCUAGGAUGCUGGCAUAAUGGUCAUCAGCCACCCGUCUUGAAACACGGACCAAGGAGUCGAACAUUUAUGCGAGUUUUUGGGUGUUAAACCCUCAAGCGUAAUGAAAGUGAACGGAGGUGAGAGCCCUUACGGGUGCAUCAUCGACCGAUCCUGAUGUCUUCGGAUGGAUUUGAGUAAGAGCAUAACUGUUCGGACCCGAAAGAUGGUGAACUAUGCGUGGAUAGGGUGAAGCCAGAGGAAACUCUGGUGGAGGCUCGCAGCGGUUCUGACGUGCAAAUCGAUCGUCAAAUCUGCGCAUGGGGGCGAAAGACUAAUCGAACCAUCUAGUAGCUGGUUACCGC